UUUGACGUUAGCGACAGAAGAAGCACCGGCUAACUCCGUGCCAGCAGCCGCGGUAAUACGGAGGGUGCGAGCGUUAAUCGGAAUUACUGGGCGUAAAGACGCAUGCAGGUGGUUUGUUUAAGUUCAGAUGUGAAAGACCCGGGGCGUCAACCUACGGAAUAAGCAUUUGUAAACUAGGCAGACUAGAGUACUGUAGAGGGGGGUAGGAAGUUUCAGGUGUAGCGGUGAAAUGCGUAGAGAUCUGAAGGAAUACCGGUGGCGAAGGCGGCCCCCUCGGACAGAUACUGACACUCAGAUGCGAAAGCGUGGGGAGCAAACAGGAUUAGAUACCCUGGUAG
RNAcentral lists this ribosomal RNA (338 nucleotides) under uncultured bacterium. RNAcentral's name for it is "bacterial SSU rRNA". It matches the Rfam family "Bacterial small subunit ribosomal RNA", at positions 468 to 793 of the family's 1533-position model. The record is from RNAcentral.